UGAAGAAGGAAAAAAACCACCUGUGCCGCCAGUCUGAUGAAAAAUCAGAAAAAAUCCAUCAGCUGGAAGAAGCACUAAAAAUAACCCAACACCUUCUGAAGGAGACCCAGAAGAAUUCUGAAGAGAUGAAAAACUGAAAUGAUGGAGGAAAACAUGAAAAGAUUACUGAAAUGGCAAAGCGAAGUUGAAAUUAAUCGUCGCUCCUUAGAAGAGAAAAGAAAAGAACGGGAAAAGGAAGUAUUACGUCAGCUCCGUGCCUUAGAGACAGUGGCUCAGCAGGCCAAGGAGAUCAUACUGAACCAGGACUUGCAGCAAGCCAAG
Molecule: long non-coding RNA, 321 nt
Organism: Emys orbicularis (European pond turtle)
Lineage: Eukaryota; Metazoa; Chordata; Testudines; Emydidae
Exons: 3
Source: RefSeq, a predicted model, not a curated record